GGUUGAUCCUGCCAGUAGUCAUAUGCUUGUCUCAAAGAUUAAGCCAUGCAUGUCUAAGUAUAAACAUCUUUAUACCGUGAAACUGCGAACGGCUCAUUAAAUCAGUGAUUAUUUAUUUGAUGGUACAAAUUAACUACAUGGAUAACUGUAGUAAUUCUAGAGCUAAUACAUGCGUAAAGACCUAACUCCUAGUGGGAAAGGUUGUAUUUAUUAGAUACAAAAUCAAUGUCCAGGCAACUGGUUCAACAUUGGUGAAUCAUAGUAACUUGAUCGAAUCGUAUGGCCUUUGUUG
This 292-nucleotide ribosomal RNA is filed under the name uncultured eukaryote. RNAcentral's name for it is "partial 18S ribosomal RNA". It matches the Rfam family "Eukaryotic small subunit ribosomal RNA", at positions 6 to 283 of the family's 1831-position model. The record is from RNAcentral.